This 253-nucleotide ribosomal RNA is filed under the name uncultured bacterium. RNAcentral describes it as "partial 16S ribosomal RNA". It matches the Rfam family "Bacterial small subunit ribosomal RNA", at positions 524 to 776 of the family's 1533-position model. The record is from RNAcentral.
UACGGGGGGGGCAAGCGUUGUUCGGAAUUACUGGGCGUAAAGGGCUUGUAGGUGGCCAACUAAGUCAGACGUGAAAUCCCUCGGCUUAACCGGGGAACUGCGUCUGAUACUGGAUGGCUUGAGAUUGGGAGAGGGAUGCGGAAUUCCAGGUGUAGCGGUGAAAUGCGUAGAUAUCUGGAGGAACACCGGUGGCGAAGGCGGCAUCCUGGACCAACACUGACGCUGAGGAGCGAAAGCUAGGGGAGCAAACGGG